Molecule: ribosomal RNA, 400 nt
Filed under: uncultured bacterium
Lineage: Bacteria
Description: bacterial SSU rRNA
Rfam family: Bacterial small subunit ribosomal RNA
Source: RNAcentral
GGGGAAUAUUGCACAAUGGGCGAAAGCCUGAUGCAGCAACGCCGCGUGAGUGAAGAAGGUUUUCGGAUUGUAAAGCUCUGUCAUCUGGGACGAUAAUGACGGUACCAGAUGAGGAAGCCACGGCUAACUACGUGCCAGCAGCCGCGGUAAUACGUAGGUGGCAAGCGUUGUCCGGAAUUACUGGGCGUAAAGGAUGCGUAGGCGGAUAUUUAAGUGAGAUGUGAAAAUCCCGGGCUUAACUUGGGAACUGCAUUUCAAACUGGGUAUCUAGAGUGCAGGAGAGGAAAGCGGAAUUCCUAGUGUAGCGGUGAAAUGCGUAGAGAUCGGGAGGAACACCAGUGGCGAAGGCGGCCUACUGGGCUUUAACUGACGCUGAAGCACGAAAGCAUGGGUAGCAAAC